UGUGUGUUGCUUUUUUAACUGUUCCUUUCCCCCCCUCCUCUCCUUUCUCUUUUUUUCUCUUUGAUUAUAUGUAUGAUACAUCCCCAUGUAUCAUGGACUGAGGACUUUGUAUUAUUAUAUACAUGGGAUAGAGAAUAGGGGAGAAGAGAUAAGGGUGAGUGAAAAGGUAGUCCAUAAGAACAUUGAUGCCAGUGAAGGAGACCCUUUUAUGCAAAAAAUCUGGACUGAAUAGGAAGAAUGCGACCGCGGCAUAGCAAAACCGAAAGUGGAAUGCAAGAACAUUGUGGGUGGAACGCAUAAUGGCAGCACCGGAAGUGACGCCAUACACCCUAGCGAGCACCAAUAUGGCGGCCACAAGUGGUGUACAAGGAGGGGAAAGCUCCCAAUUGGAUAAUUAUAACAAGGGGGUGUCCCUAAUUUGACUUCUUGGAACCAAAACUGAUUUAUAAACCGUGAAUACACAGGGAAGAC
Non-coding RNA from Pelobates cultripes (western spadefoot toad), 471 nucleotides. Lineage: Eukaryota; Metazoa; Chordata; Amphibia; Anura; Pelobatidae. The record is from the annotation of a GenBank genome assembly.